CUGUAACACGUGUUUAUGUUUGUAUGAAGAUGAGCAUUUACUACACUUAAAAGGUCUAUCUAAGGAGUGCAUUCGUUUAUGUAUUCCGAGUUUGUAUUCCGAGAUGAAAAAUUUGCCACAUUCCAGGCACUGAUAUUUCUCGUCUGCUGGAGAGUGAUAUAUCUUUUUGUGGCAGAGCAAUCCCUUCUUAGUUUUAAAGGUCCUUCGACAUUCGUCACAUAUAGCUGUGACGUCAUUUCUGUGUACAGUUAGUUGAUGUGUCUUCCAUUCUUCAUGCGUAUCAAAUCGUGAAUGGACACAAAAACGACAAAUCAAAGCAUGCGUCUCUG
This 329-nucleotide long non-coding RNA is filed under the name Mytilus galloprovincialis (Mediterranean mussel). Lineage: Eukaryota; Metazoa; Mollusca; Bivalvia; Mytilida; Mytilidae. The record is from RNAcentral.